CCAGUAUUAACUGUGCUGCUGAA
RNAcentral lists this microRNA (23 nucleotides) under Chrysemys picta bellii (western painted turtle). RNAcentral's name for it is "Cpi-Mir-15-P2a_3p* (star (passenger))". Lineage: Eukaryota; Metazoa; Chordata; Testudines; Emydidae. RNAcentral also lists the same sequence under 24 other names. The record is from RNAcentral.